UACGUAGGGGGCAAGCGUUGUCCGGAAUUAUUGGGCGUAAAGAGCGUGUAGGCGGUCCGGUAAGUCAGCUGUGAAAGUCAAGGGCUCAACCCUUGAAUGCCGGUUGAUACUGUCGGGCUAGAGUCCGGAAGAGGCGAGUGGAAUUCCCGGUGUAGCGGUGAAAUGCGCAGAUAUCGGGAGGAACACCAAUGGCGAAGGCAGCUCGCUGGGACGGUACGGACGCUGAGACGCGAAAGCGUGGGGAGCAAACAGG
Molecule: ribosomal RNA, 253 nt
Filed under: uncultured bacterium
Lineage: Bacteria
Description: partial 16S ribosomal RNA
Rfam family: Bacterial small subunit ribosomal RNA
Source: RNAcentral